Molecule: long non-coding RNA, 29876 nt
Filed under: Gossypium barbadense (sea-island cotton)
Lineage: Eukaryota; Viridiplantae; Streptophyta; Magnoliopsida; Malvales; Malvaceae
Description: long non-coding RNA (GBAR_LNC008558)
Source: RNAcentral
UAGUGGUGGUGUUGUUUUCAAGUUCAGAGGCAGCACCAGCGCCAAAAUGUGAUAACCCCCUGGAGUAUAGCUCAUGCUUGAACGCGUAUAAGAAGCCACCUCCAUCAGCCGGUUGUUGCCAGAAGAUGAAGGAACAAGCACCAUGCUAUUGCGAGUACAUGAAGAUAGAAGAUGUCAAACGUGUUUUUGACAGAGUUGAGAUUGCGAAAAUGGCUAAAUUGUGUGGAGUUUCAUAUUCUUCCACCUGUUAGAAUCACGUUUGGUUUCAUAUGACUAUCUCUGGCUGGGAUAAUGUGGCAUCUCAAUAAAUAAAAAUUUUAUUUGAAAACUAAUUUACUCAUAAUUUCAACUAUAAUUUACCUAUGUUCUUUUUUUUUUUGGAAUGAUACUGGUGAUUUUCUAUUAUUUACCUUUAUUGUCUUGAUUCAUGUUACAUAUGUGCUAAAAGAACUACACAAUGAUCUAGAUUUUGUUUGAACCGUACUGGAUUGGUUGGAUUGGAAACUGGUUUUGAUACUAGUAUAAUUACAGGGGUUAGAUUGGUUGACCCACGAACCAAUAGAGACUAGUUGAAUCGAUUUUCUCUAUUUCUUAAAAAUUAUUUUUAUAUUUAUUUGAAUUUUUAAAUAAUUUAUUUAAUAAAACUGGACGAAUUGGUCGAAAUGAAAAAUAGUUAUUUAACUGAUUCGACCAUCAGUCCAGUUCUGAAAACAUUGUUAUAGUUAAAAAAAGAAAAAGAAAUGGGUAGGGUAGAUCAAAUUAUUAAAUUAUAAACAUAUAUGUUAUUCGAAUAUUUAUUUGGGUAAAGCACACUUGUAGUCACUCAACUAUUAGUAAAUUUCUCUUUUAUGCUCUGAAUUAUGAAAAUUUACAAAAUGAUCACUCAAUUAUUCAAUUUUCUCUUUUUUGAUCUCUUGUUAGCUAGACUUGUUAAUUGGCCGGGUUACCUUACCAGGCAUGUAACAACCCAUUUUUCAGUGGUGUCAGAAACAAUGGUUUCGGGACCACAAAUUCGAUGAGUAAGUCUAUAUAUUUAUUAUUUAAUAUUUAUGAGUCAGUUUCAAUAUUAUAUUGAAUUUGUGAUUAAUAAUUUUUAUAAAUUGAACGAAUAGAUAAGUAAAAGUGGUUUAAUCCAAAGUCAAGUGGUUAUUGAAAAUGAGACGUUGGGACCUCAUUUCCGUAAUUUAAGGUCGUAAAUAUUUUUAUUAAAUAUUUAUGGACUCUUAUUAUAGGUGAAUUUAAGUUUGGUUCGGUAAUUUUGACGAUUGAUUUCUUAAUUAAGGAAAGAGAAUUAAAUUGUAAAAAAGGUAAAAAUUACCCAUUAUAGAUUUUAAAUUACCAAAGGGAUUAACAUGGAAAUUAGACCAUUGCCAAAAGUCCAAGCGGUGGUGGAUGGUAAUCAUUCCACUAACCUUUGGGAUAUUUGUUCAUUAGGUCCUAAUUAGGUUAAGGUUAAGUUGAAAUAAAGUUGUUUGAUUUGAUUUAAUAUAAUUGAAGGACCAAUUGUGCAAUUGGACUUUUCUUAAAUGGCCAAACGGUAGGAAGGAUAUGAAAUUCUCUAGUUUUGUGAUUAAUUGCUAUUAGAUCCUUAUUAUUUAGUAAUGAAUUAAAAAGGACUAAAUCAUAAAGAAUGAAAAAGUUAAGUUUUAUUAAUUGGAAAUGUAAAUUAGAUGGACCUAGACGGUAAUUAUGUCAUAUAUAUUUGAUGGAAAAUUAUGAACAUGUGUUAGAGAUAUUAUAAGUAUAAUUUAAAGGUUAAUUUUGUAAAUAAGUAAAUAGGUUAAUGAAAAAUAAAAGAUAACUAAAUUUAAAAAGCUAUCAUCUUUUUAUCCAUUCAAGAAAACUGAAAACACCAUUUUUAGAGGAGAAACAAGUUCGUCCAACUAGGGUUCUUCCAUUUAAGAGCUAAACCUUGCUCAUUGUUAGUAUUUUUUUAUGUUUUUAAGUUUAUUUUAGCUUGAUCUAGCUAACUUAAGGUCUAAUUUGUAAAAUUGUUAAACGUUGUAGAUUAUGCCAUUGAUGAUUUAGUGUGUUCUUGAAGUUUAAUGGUAUAUUAUUAACCUUGGUUGUUAAAUAAGACUAUUUUGUAAAGUAUUUUUUUUUGUAAUUUUAAUGUUAAAGGACCAAAAUGUUAAAGUGAUAAAAUUACAAGGACUUGACGUGAAAUAAUAGCAAGUUUGAGUUUUAAUGUAAUAGAAUGCGAUUCGGUUUGAUUUGGAUUUGGUUAAAAUUGGUUAAAUAGCAAGUUUGGAGCUUAGAGACUAAAUUAUAUAAAAGUAAAAUAUUGGAGGUAAUUUUGUGAAAAUGUCAAAAAUGACUUAGUUGCAUAUAAUAGUUAAUUAUGUUGCUAGAAAUUGAUAAUUGAAUGAAAUUAUUAUUUAGAUUGUGAAUGAAUUGAAAAUCGAAGAAAAGAGAAAGUUGCUGAAUAGUCCUUGAACUUUUGUCAUUUCUGCAGUUUAGCUCUGGUAAGUUCAUUUAAUAUGAAAUAAAUUAUAUUUCUAAUUGUUUAUGAAUGUUAGAGCUUAAAUGAUAUAAAAUUACUAAUAUUUAAAUUGAUUUAUUUAUAGAACUGAAACUGUAAAAAGUUACGAAAAUGGUAUUUUUUUAUAUCAAUGGAGACAAGCUAUAUUCGUAUGUAAGACCAUAACAAGGCUAUGAAAAUUAUAAACGUAAGACCAUAGUGAGAGCACAAUAUGAAACGUGUAUUGGGGUUUCAAUCGUCUUUACAAUAUUCAUCAUAUGGAAAUAAAUGAGGAUCUAAAUGUGACUUGAUGUGUGAAACGAUAAGUGGUUUGUAAUAGUUAUACGUGUAAAGGUAGUAAAUGUUGUAUUAUCAUUAUAUGUUAAAGCGAUUAUGCAUUGUGAUAGUAAGAAAUGCGAAUGUUGUUGAAAUGUGGAAAUUUGAUUUGAACUAAUGUUUGAGCAUUACUCACUUGCUGUAAGCUGUGAUUGACAAGAAUUCUGAUAAUAACCUUGUUGACAGUAACUCUAUUCAUUUAUCUUGUUAUUUGAAUUAUUUUGUUUAAUUUAGUAAGUUUUAUUGUUUAAUUGACGAACUUACUAAGCUUUAUGUAAGCUUAAUCGUUUCCUUGUCUUUUUCUUUGUAGAUUAUAUUUUAUGGAAAUCGGGAGAUCGAAUCAACUCAAAGAAUCACACUACCUGAAGACCUUUUUGGUAGAUUUUGAAUUCAAUUUGGCUUAUAUGGCAUGUAAUAGGAAAAUUUUAUUAUGUUUUGUAAUGGCUCCUAACUACUUAUAUUGUACAGUUGUUGUGUAUGUAAGGUUGUGGCUUGAAUAACUUUGUUAGACAUGCAUGCUUAAUUCUAAACUUAAGCAUAAUGGAUAAACAUGGAAUGAUAAGUUGGCAUGAAUUAGAUAUGGUAAGUUGGGACUGAAUUUGAGUGUGUUUGUGGUUUGUGUAUAUUUGCUAAGGUAAUGAGAUCAUAGGGUUGGACUUGUGGUGUCUUUGUUGACACAUUAGGUUAGGUCUUGGCUGAAUGAUUUAGCAUGUUUUGGAUGUUCUCAAAUGUGUUUUGAAGUCUUGUGAUCAUGUGUUAUAAAAUGGUUUAGGUACCUAAGCAUUUAGAUGUGAAAAGUGCAUGUUUUGGGUCAUUUUUGGGCACACACGGCCCGAGACACAGGUUGUCACAUGAUCCUGUAUCACACAUGGGCAACCUACACAGGUGUAUGCUCCGAGUGUGUUAGGUGCAGGGUUCACACGGGCUGGCACACGGAGGAGUCACUGACAUGUGAGCCAAGUUAGUGAGUUACACAAGUGGAUACACAUGUGAGCACAUGGACGUAUGGAGUAGCCACACAAGCGUGUGGGAUAGCCACAUAGCCAUGUCUAGAGGCACACGAUUUAGAUUCUGUCACACGUCUUAGACACACGACCGUGUGACCCUUGUUUGAAAAUUUUUCAAUUUUUCUCUGAACUUCUUGAUUUGAUUUGAAUUGGUCCCUAAUUGUUCCUAAUAUAUUUUUAAAGCCUCUUAGGCUCGAUUUAAGCUCCAUAAAUAUAUGUUUAUUUCAUUCUGAAUUAUAUAUGUAUUUUCAAAAUUGAUAUGAUUAUUAGAUGUUAAUUGUUAUGAGAUGUUCCGAAUUGUACGAUAAUACUCUGUAACCCUAUUCUGAUGAUGAAAACGGUUUAUGGGUAUUAUAUUAAGUGGUAUUAGAACCACAAUUUAGUCGAUUCUUAGAAUGAACGUAGCGUGUUCGAAGUCUAGAAAUUACAUGCCAUAUAAACUAGUGAUAGUGUGAUAUGGAUUGAUCCGAUCUAACACCUAUUUUAUUGUAGAUUAUAAAGAUGUCAUCUGAAUCUGAUCGUGACGAAACUAAUGAAGUUAAUAGUAACAUUUCGACUUUUGAUUCUGGUGCAAGUCAUAGUAUACAGGUUCCACAAAUGCCUGAAAAUGAGGUUAAGAAUAUUUUCUUAUAGAUCUAAUGAAUGUUAAUAGAAUCUGACCAUACUGAACUUGAUGAGGUAAAUGGUAAUAUUCCAACUUAUAAAUAAGAGGUAAUGUAAUGACCCAAAAUCCACAUGCACCGGAAAAGUGAGUUAUAGGGCCCCCGUCUUAGUGAAAUAAGUUCGAAAUAAUUAUAAAAAUAUUUAUGAGCCUAGUGAUGUGUCUAAUUAGGAUUUAAUUAGGUGAAAUUAACUUAAUUUAGAAUAAUUAGCAAAAAGAACUAAAUUGAAAAAGGGGUAAAAGUUUAAUUCUAAAGUAAUAGAAAAUAAAAAGGAUCAAAAUGGCAAUUAAGCCAUUUACAUAAAUUGAGGCGGCAAAUGGAAGAAAAAUCAAGAUUUUUCUUGAAUAUAUGUAUUAUAUAUUUAUAAUAUUAAAAUUAUUAUUAUUAUGGUUUUAUAAUUAUUAUGAUUAUUUAAUGAAUAUUAUAUUUUAAAUAAAUUAAAUAGUUGAUAAAUAUAUGGUAAUAAAAUUUACAUGUGUAAAAAUUAUUUUGGUACAUUUGUAAUUUAAAUACUAAAUUACUUAUAAUUUAAGUAAAAAGAUAUUUGUUAACUAAAUAAUUAAAAUUUUAAAUUAUGAGAUUUUUGUUUGAGAAACAAAUUAAAUAAUGACAAAUGUAAUAAAAUUAUUGGUACAAAUGUAGAAUUAAAUAUGUGUACAAUUGUAAAAUAUGUAAAUGAUGUUAAAAUAGAUAUUUAAAAUAAAUAUAUUAUAAUAUAUGCUAAUUAAAUAAGUAAAGCAAAUAAAUAUAAAAGAGAAAUAAAGAAACAAAAGGGAAUAGAAAUAGAAUUGAAAACGGGAAGCAGGGGAGAAAAAGAGAAAGAAAAAGGGCAAGAAAAAUAAAAGAGAAAACUAAGGAUUUGAAGCUUGGAGUUAAUUUGGAAAGUCAAUUAAGUCCUUUUUAGUUAAUCUUGAUGUUUUAGAAGCUUUGAAACAAGAUUUUGAUGAAAUUAAGUUGAUAGUUCAAGAGUUCAUAUGUUUCCAAAUAUGGUUCAUGUUGGACAAAUUAUGGAAUUAGGGAUUUAAUUGAAUGAAUUCUAAGUUAGAAUUGAUUAAGGGAUUAAAUUGUAAACUAGGCUAUAAGUUUUAUGUUGUAGGGACUAAAUUGAAUAAAUUUCGAAAUUAGGGAAAUAUGCAGGAAAUUUUAUAGUUAAAUAUAAGUUUAGACUAAAUUUAAAUAGAAAAAGAGAGUGAAUUGGAUUAAGAAAAUAAUUAAGUUUAGUUAGGAUUAAAUUGGGAAUAAGGUAGGAAUUGUUUAGAAAUUUAAUUAUUUAUUAUAAUUAAUGCUGUAAAUAAUAAUGUAAAUUACUAUUAUUUUCGUAGCCAACAAAGAACCUGAAGCAUCAGCAUCAAAAGGAAAGGAGAAAGUCAUCGAGGACUAAAACGGGAGAAUUACGGUGUGUAUUACUAUAAUUCGAAUUUUAAUUAUUAUUGAUUGCUGAAUUUUUAAUUGUUAUGUAUGGUAAGUAAGACUUGAGGUAAGUAAGUGAAAUUGAUAUGAAUAUUGAGUGAAAAUGAAAGUGAUGCAUAUUGAAUUAAAUUGAAUAGAAUAAGUGAAUUAUGGAAUAUGUGAUUAUUUGAAAAGUGUAUUGAUUGAAAAAUGAAUGGUGAUUUGAAUUGUGAAUUGAAAGUGAUAGAAUUGAGAAAGUGAAUUGAAUACCCUAUUAACUAGUCGGGCUGAGUCGGAUAUAGUUGGCAUGCCAUAGGAUUAGAAGUGUUCAGGGAUGCUUCGACCUCAAGUCGAUGAGACACUGGGUGUCACUAAAUUUCUUCGGAUAGAUUCGAUGAGGUACUGGGUACCAACUUUACUUCGGCUAGGCUGAUGAGACACUGGGUGUCAACUAUUACUUCGAACUAUCCGAUGAGGCACUGGGUGCCAUAUUGGUGUGUUUGAUUGGAUCCAUGUAUCCGCCAAAGUCCGAGUUACGUUAAUAGGGUGAAAAAUUGAAAUGUGAAUUUAAGGCAUUGAAAAAAAAAAGGAAAUUGAAUUAUGAAUAGAAAUUGGAAUUGUGAUAGAAAGAGAAAAGUAUGAGCUAAAUGUUCGUAAGUGGUUUAAAUUCAAGUUUGUGAAAAAUACAUUAAUUGACGAAUAAUUAAAUUGAAUUGUUAUUAUGAAAUGAUGAAAAUAAAAAUAAAAAUAAAGUAUGAAUUAGUAUUUAAGAAAUUAAUUGUUAUGUAUUUUAAUAUUUAUAUUUUUAUUAUUGAUGAUAUAUUUUGAAUUAUGGUAAUACCACUGAGUAUAUCCAUACUCAGCGUAAGGUUGUUUCUGUGCGCAGGUUAGUAGAAGUCAAGUGUCCCGGCUCAGCAUCCAGAACUAUCCCGACUCCAACACAAAUUUGGUGAUGUAUAUUUUUCUUUUGGGUAAAGGUGGCAUGUACGUAGGUGUUGUUUAGUCACUUGAAUAUGUAUAUUACUUUGGGUAGUGAAGGAUGAAUUAUAAGAUUUAGAUGGUUAAAUGAAUGAAGUAUUUAAUCAAUUUAGAAUGAUGCUAUGAUAGUUAUUAAGUUAAAAAUUAUGUUAAUGAUAUAAAUAUUAGUUAUAUGAAUGUGAAACAUUGGUGUUGGUUGUUUUGGUUUGAAUUUGCAGGGGUUUUAGGUAAAAAUAAGCAGAAAUGCUGCCGAAUUUUUUUUUAUAAAAAAAAAAUUCCCGGAAUACUCGAACAAGUCCCGUUCUACUUUUAAUACGUGUUUGAACUUCGAGAGUCCAAUAUAGGGACUUAAUUAUUAUAUUAUACUAUGAAAGUUAUAUUAAUUGUAAAUUAUUCGUAAGUUGUCUAAUAUGUCCGGUAAUGCCUCAUAACCUCGUUCCGGCGACGGUUUGGGGUUAGGGGGUGUUACAGGUAAAUUAUAGUUUAUCGGUUUUGUAAAUGUCAGAUAGUGAAGUCAAAAUGUCAUUUCAACUUAAUGAGUCAGUAGUUCACAGAAAUAGCUUGAGCCAAUUCAGAGGCUCUACAAUUUCUACCUCUUUUCGAGCAUCCCGUGGUAACUUUGAGUCUUCAACUGACUAAAAUAGUUCGAAGACUCUUGUGUAAAUAAUUAAAUAGUAUAGUGAUGAAGACUUCAAAAGUAAAAUAGAUGAAGAUUCUAUUAACCAACAAAUUGGAGAGAUUAAUUAAAACUGAAAUUAACUAAAUUAAUUAACUAAAGAACACGACAAAGAAUGAAUUAGGAAAACAAAUGAUUAACAACCAACAAAGAAAAUAAUACCCAGGAAAGAAUCCUCCUAGAUUUCAUCUGUCAUUAUCAAUCUGAAUUAAACAAUUUCUUCACUUUCUAUCUUGAUCUGUAGAAAUCCCUAAAUUAUGUUAAUAUCUCUUUCGAGAGUAAGAGCAACUGACUUUAGGUUAAUUAAUUGAAAUUUAUUUCCAAUUAAAACCCAUAUUAUCACAUUAACUCGAUCUAUUGAUCCCCCUAUUAGAUUUAACUCUAAUGUGGUAGAUUUAUGUCAUCCUAUUUCUAGGAUUGCAUGCAAUUCCACUCAAUAAUGCUAGAUCUACUCUUAAACAGAAACUUUUUCUCCUCUGAUUUAGAAAUAUCAAACCAAUAAUUAAGCACAAAUAAUUGAGAACAAGAUCUAAGUAUUUAUUGUGUAGAAUAGAAGUCAAACAACAUAAUUCAUCAUAUGGUUUAUUUCCCCUAGGUAUUUAGAAAAUUAGUUCAUAAUCACAAAUAAAAGCAUCCAGAAGACAGUAUAACCACAAGAAAUAAGAAAACCCAUAAUAAACUUCAAAGGAAUCAAGAGGAGAUCUUCAAUAUUGAUGGAAAUUUGCUUUAGAGUCGGCUUCAAUGGUGUUUUUUAAGUUGUUUUCUUGAGUAUUCUAUGAUGGCUCACUCCCUUCUUUUUAUAUUAGGUAUAUAUAGGUUUUAAAAUACCCGAAAAACCUAAAAUUAAGUUUUUUUUUGCAUUUCUAGAGUGCAUUUUGCAAUUUCCACACCGUUUGGCACACGACCAUAUGGCUCACACAGCCGUGUGUCCAGUUCGUAUGGAAUGGCUCAGCCAUUGUGGCUUCUGAAACUUGCUCUUAUUUUUUGAUUUUCUCUCGUUGUUUAGUCAUUUUGCUCCCAAAUACUCUCCUAAGUAUAGAAACAUGAAUUUAAAGGAUUAUGAGCAUAAAAUUCACCAUUUUAAAUAGAAUAAUCAUCCAAAAACGCAUUAAGAAUGAGGCAAAAACAUGUUACUUUUGGCAUUUGUCAAAUAUCCCCACAUUUAAGCAUUUGCUUGUCCUCAAGCAAAAUCCUCAACCCACAUUCAAAUUAACUGUUCUCAAGUUGUCAUUUUCAUCAAUAAUGUUUCAAGAUAAUUCGCAAACAAUCAUGCAUUGGAAAUUCAACCAAAAGGACACUAAAGAUUCAAGCAGUCCAAACCAUAACCAUAAAGUUAUCUCGCCUUAUCUAAAUAAUUAUCUUAAGGUUCAAAUAUUGUGCACUCAAUAUUCGAAAGAGAAAUGCCAUUACCAUAAAAUUGCUUAAAAAUCAAAUCUCCACCACUAUAGAAUGAGAUGACACACCAAUCAAUAGGUCUUUUCAAGGUUGUAAUGGGGCUUAGGUUAAGGGUAUGGAAAAGGUCAGAAAAGUCGGUUAUAAUCAAGAUCGAGUUAAUAAAUUAUCAAACUAGAAAAACAAUCAAUUGCUAAAUUAAAAGAACUUACAUCAAAAAGAAUAAGCACAAAUGGAAACGAGCUUUUCGACAGAAUAUGAAACUAAUUAUUCAAGCUAAAUAUAAAAUUUAUGUUUUUUCUUUUCGAUUUUUUUGAGAAAUAAGAAAUAAAAUUCAACAAUUUAAAAAAAAAUGAAAUAUUGUUCUCGACAAAAAGGGAGUCAAUAAAAAGAAUACAUUUACAACAUAGAUUUGGGUUAAGGGUUAACAUUAAUAGGUUAAUAAAAAAAAAUUUAGGAUCAAUGAGGUUUACUAGGGGUUAACACAACAAUUAAGGUGGUUAAAUGAGUUAAAUCCUAAGUAUCUCUAUCAUCUCAAUAUAUUAAAUCAAUAAUAUGGUCUAAACAUGUAUAAUAUAAGAAAGUUCUAGAAUAACAAAUGAAGUUGACAUACUUUCAACCAAAAAUAAAAUGAGCACGAAUAAAUAUAAGCUCUAUAGGCUCAAAGGCUCACAAAAAAUUAAGGUUUUGAUGUCAAACUUGCAAUUUCAGAGUUUCAAGACAAUAAUUCAAUUCAAGAAAGCAACCUAAAAUAUUUAUUUAUGAAAAAUUAACUUAUCAUGCUUGACUCUCUCGUGCCUUAAAGUAUAAAUCACACAAUGCAUAUAAAUCCACAAAUUAAUCCAAAACAACAUCAAUAAAAAUUUCAAAUAAAACAAUUCACUCUAACAGACAACCUUCUCAGACUUAAGAUGUAUAUUAUCCUUCAUGUACAAAUAGAUAUAAGCACAGAAUAAGACAAUAUCAAAAGAGAGGGAGAACUAAAACUAGCCUGAAUAUGGAUGAAUUUGCCAUAAUAGUGAAAAGCAGAAUCGUAAGCGAGUCUAAAUGCGGUGCAUGUUUCCAAGUAAACUAAUAAGAAAAUUAACAAAAAUAAAUAAGAAGGUAAAGAGAUUACAAACUUGAACAAAACAACCAUCAAAAUAAUAAAAAUAACAGCAUAGUUCAAAAUAUAAAUAAAAUAAAUUAGUCUCACAAAAAAUACAACAAUUAAAAAUAAAAGUACAAUUGAAAAUAAAAUAAAUAAAGCAAAAAAAAUGAAAAAAAAUUAGUGAUCAUCAUCGUGAGAGGCAUCAGGAUCACACGAAACAUAAGCAGAAUGGGAGAUAUGCAGGUGUUGGUGAAUCAAUGUAAAGCCGCGUCAAUGUUGUCGAACCAUGCUGACUGUUACUUGACAUGCUCAUAAUGUAACCGUUCGAGGCGAUUUAGCUGAUGUGAAAUAUUGCCAAGUGUGACUGAAUGUGCAGGUGCAAUAGUAGAAGGGCUCGGAGGAUUGGGAAUGGGUCGCAAUGCUGGGGGGAGAUCAUCAUCAAGGUGCUUAUUAUCCUCGUGCUAUUAAGUUGCUCGUAACAACACAUACUGAUCACCGAAAGGCCCAGGCUGAUGAGCAAUCAUCCUCAUAUGUUUCAUAAUAUUUAAACCUUGUGGUGUCAUGUCCCCAACCAAAGUAAGAGUACCAAUCUGCUUGGGAGUCUCGAGGAGACCAAAGUGACAAGUCAAGAGUGUGAUAUCUAGACCCAUACAAAGAGGUCCUCUCCGUGACCGCUCACUCUGAUUAUGAAAACACUGGGCUACAAAGUGGGCUAGAUCAAUCAGAUGUUGUCCGUGCAUACUCUAUAAGAAAUAUGCAUUUAAAAUGCCCACGAUGCUUUUAACGGCCUGUUUUCAGUGGUGUUGAAAAUAGUGGUUUUGUGUCCAUAAUUCUGAUUAGUGAAUUAUUAAUUUAUUAUUUAUUUAAUGUCUAUGGGAUUAUAUUAAGGUCUUAUUAAUUUUUUUUAAGAAAUUUUGAUGUUUAAAUGGUUAAUUAGGUGAAAAUGAUUAAAUCGUGAAAAGUGUAAAAGUUGAGUUGUAUUAGUUAAAGUGGUCUAAUGGCUAUGAAAUCAUAAACUAAAGGACUUGAUUGGUAAAUAUACCGUUUAAAGUGUUAGUGGAUGUGCAUGGACAAGGUUUUAAUGAAAUUUUGAUAGUUUUUAAAGGUUAAAAUGGCAAUUGAAUAAUUAACUUUAAAACAAAAGAAACUAAAAAUGGUAUCAUCAUCAUCCUUGGCUAUCUCCACCAAAAUUUGAAGAGGAAAACACCAUUAGAAUAGGGUUGAGCAUUCGAUCAAGUUUCUACUUGUAUGUAAGUGAAUUCAAGCUCCUUUUUUUUAAUGAUUUUUAUGUUUUCGAGUUCAUUUUAGCUUAAUCUAGCUAGCCCGGAGGUUAAUUUGCAAAACCGUUAAAGGUUGAAGGACUUUUCAUGGAUAUUUUUUAAUGUGUUUUGACGUUUUUUGAUGUAUUAUUUAUCUUUUGUAACACCCCUUACCCGUAUCCGUCGCCGGAACAGGGUACGAGGUAUUAACAAAUUAUAGUAUAUACUAUUAAAUAAAACCCAACAAAAAUAUGGCGUGCAAUUUGAUCAUGGAUCAUUAUAACAUAUGCCAUUAACAAUACAAACCAACUUCAAAGGCUUCGUACAAAAUGAUUAGUUUGAUACUAUAAGUAGUAAUUUAAACCUAGACAAUUAUGACACGUAACAAAAUAACUAAGUCUGCUAUACAUGCCAUAUUUCAAAAUGUUGAGUUCAGAUACCAAGAGUAUUGAUAGUGCGGGCGGAUCUUCUAUGAUCUCUGAUUCCUGUACUCGCUGGAUGACACUAUAAGACAAAUGAGAGAAAAGAAAGUAAGCUUAUAGCUUAGUAAGUAAGUAAAUAAAUAACAAAUAAGGAAUCUAAUAUGUUUACAACAUAACUCAAUUAUAUCAUAUUUUUAAUCUUACUGUUUACUCCAAUUUGAUCAAGCUGUCCCUCCUGCGUCAUGAUCACUAAAUAAAUCAUAACUUGAGUUACGAAACUCGAAAUCCAAAUCCGUAAAAUUUCCCUGAAUCUAGACUCAUAAAAAUUCUUACAAAUUUUUUUCUAGAAUUUUUGGUUCAGCCAAUUAGUACAGUUUAUUAGUUAAAGUUUCCCCUGUUACACAGCUCAACUGAUCUGACCUCUGUUCAUUACGAAUUGAAUUUCUCUUAGUACACAAUUCAAAUAACCAUGAAACCUGUUUCAUUUAAAAAUAUACUCAAUAAGAAAUUUAUUCAUAUAAACUAUAUUUCUUAAUUUGUUUUGUAUAAUUUUUAAUGAUUUUUCAAAGUUGAAACAGGGGAUCACAUAGUCAUCCUGAACAAGUCUCACACAAUUGUAAAUAUCUCAAAAUAUAGAAUUCCUUUGCUUGCUCUGUUUCUUUUAUAUGAAAAUAGACUCAUUAAGCUUUAAUUUCACAUCUCAUUCAACCUCUAAUUAAAUUCCUUAUAUUUUUGGUGAAUUUUCAAAAUCACGUCACUGCUACUGUCCAAAACAGUUUUAAUGCUAAUUUCACUCUUUCACACAUUCUUUAUACUAACCUCAUUUUAACUUACAUAUAUAUAUAUAUAUACCACAAAUCAUUUUCACCACAUUUCAUGCAUCACAAGUGUAGGUCCAUGACUACAAUGUCACCACAAAACCAUCCCGUUGAACAAUUCGGAUUAAUCCUCGAUACUUGAUGGUUUCAGCACACAGCUCCACCAUCAUAUUUCAUUUAAUUCGACUCUCUUGUACACAUGGUGAACACUUAGUACGACUCAUGCGACCUAGCUGAUUUGUCUCAUAGCUCUCUUGUCUACAUGGUGUCCUUCACUUGGAAUCACGCAUGCGACCUAGCUACAUUUAUCUCUCACGUAGCUCUCUUGUCUACAUGGGAUACAUCCCGUAUCACACAUGUGACCUAGCUACUAUAUAGUAUCUCGUAGCCUUCUUGUACACAUGAUGUGCACUAGGCACCAUACAUGUGACCUAGCUACGCUCCCUCUAUUUUAUUCGAUUUUUCCGAAUGUUCAACCGGGAUCUCUCUCUCUAUUACUUAUUUCCAUUCUUCCAAUAGUCGAUUUAUACUUCAACAUCAGCUAAUAUAUAUAAUAGGCUGAAAUAUAAGAAUGUAAAUGAAAUUAAUGUAUUAUUUACAUACAAACUUACCUCGGUGCAAAAUAUGGGAAUUUUGCAAUUUAGUCCAAAACUUUCUCCUUCCCCCGUUCGAGGUCGAUUCCACGCCUUUCUUGAUCUAUAACAACAUAUUUAGCUCAUUUAACACUUGAACUAUUUAUUUUAAUCCAAAAAUCACAUUAUACAAAAAUUACAUUUUUGCCCCCUAACUUUUACAAAAUUACGAUUUUUCCCCAAGGCUCGGAAAUUUAAUUUCAGCCCUUAUUCUUAUGUUUAAUGACCUACUGAUCAUUUUUCUCUUCUCUGGCAACAUCAAAUUCUCACUCUAACACAUAGUUAUGAACAAUAGGUAUUUUUAUCGAUUAUGCCGUUUUGCUCGUUUUCGUUAAAAAUCGCUUAGAAAAGAUCGUUCUCCUAACUUCAAACAUUCAUAUUCUACCAUCAAACAACAAAAUACAUGCCUUUAAUUCAUGGGUAAAUUUUUAAACAUAAACCCUAACUCAAACUAAUGGUAGAAAUAAGUAAACCGAGCUACGAGGAUUUCAAAAAUGUGAAGAACAUUAAAAACGGGGCUUGAAAUCACUUACUAUGAAGCUUGAAAGUUGAAGAAACCCUAGCUAUGGAGGAGAGCAAUUUUCGGCAGCAACUAAUGAAGAUGAUAACCAAUUUUGUGUUAUUUUUCCCAUUUUAUUUCAUUUAAUAUACAAAUGACCAAAAUACCCUUACUACUAAACUUUCAAAAAAAUUCCCUCCAUGUCCAACUUUUGUCCAUAACUUAAGAAUGGGUCAAAUUUCUAUUUAAGACCUCCUAGUAAAUAUCCCAAAGCAAUUUCAUACUAAAAACUUCUAAAACACGAGUUUUACAAUUUAUUCGAUUUAGUCUCUAAUCUCAACUUAAGCGCGAAAUGCACAGAAUUUCAUCAUGAAACUUUCACGAAAUCAUGAAAUCAUAUCAUAAACCCCAAAAUAAUUAUAAAACAAUUAUUUCUAUCUCAGAUUUGUGGUCACAAAACCACUAUUUCGAUUAGGCCCUAAUUCAGGUUGUCACAUCUUUGUUGUAAAAUAGACAUGUUUUGUUAAGUGAUUUUUGUUGAAUUUUGGAAAUAUGGAUUAAAUUAUUAAAAGUAUAAAUCCGUGGGUUUUGUUGUGAAAUUUUGGUAAUAAUGGGUUGUUUCAAGGUCCUUUUGAACAUUGGUUAAGUUGGCUUUAGGUUAAAAUGGUUAGAUUUUAAGUUAUGAGCUUGAGGACUAAAUUGUAAAAAGUCAAAGUAUUAGGGACAAAUUUGUUAUUUUUUUAUAAAUAUGAAUUAUGGAUUAAAUUUAAUUCUACUUGAUUGAAUGAAAUUAUUUAUUUAGAUCAAGAUAAACCAUAAUCGGACUUAAAUCGUGGAAAAGCUAAAGUUUCGGAUUAGUGUUUGAUUCUACUUUUACGCCCUAGUUAUUAAGGUAAGUUCGCAUGAACUAUGAUCGUUUUAAUGUUAGUUAAAUUGACUAUUUGCUGUGUUGUUUUAAUAUAAAUGAAUCUAUGUAUAAAUGUAUCUAAGCUAUGAUGAAUUAACGGAUAACGAGUCCCAUUUGAACCUUAAGAAUUCUUAGGAUACAAAUGACAUGUCAUUAGGGAUUUCAUGUUUCGGGUGUUGGUCUUAAAUGUCCUACCGAUGGUUGAGGUCCUGCAUUUGUUGCAGAUUCUCCACAGCUCGUGUGAGCAAUAUCAUGUAGCUAACAUUCCGACCCACAACUCAUGUGAGCAGGUGUGAGCAUUAAUGUAAAGGAAAUGUUACUAUUAUAUGGAAAGGCACACUACGAGUGAACAUUCCCGAGUAGCUGAUGUAAUUCUAGAUGGUUCAAUGGGUAAGAAAAGGAAAUGAAAUGGUAAGUAUGCAAAUGGAAUGAAUCUUGAUCUUAUAAUGACAUUGAUGAGUUAAAUGAUAUGUUUAUAUAUGGUAAACUACAUAUCUUAUGGUUGAUUUCAUUUGUAUCAUGAACAAGUGUACUAACUUGUUAGUUUGAUGAUGUUGUAUAGGCUUUUACUAAGCUUAUGGCAUUGGUAAUGAUUUAUGCUUAAUCUAUGAAUUGUAUAAAUAAAAUGGUAAGUUAUGUUAAGUUUUUACAAUCUUACUAAGCACUCAUUGCUUACAUAGUUACUUUCCUUUGUUUUAUAGAUUAUAGGAAGCUCGAUCAGUUGGAAGUUCGUCGAAGACCUAUCACACUAUCCAACAAUCAUUUUAGUAUAUUUUUUUUUGUAUAUUUUGGCCAAGGUUAAUAAUGGCAUGUAUAGGAUCUUUGUAAUGUAAGUUUUGGUAAGUUUAAGCUUUUGCAGUUAUGCUGGUUUGGUGCACUUUUGAUGUCUUACCAAGUUAUGUCAUAUUAGUUACUUUUAAGUGCUUGUAAAUAAGGUUCUUUUGGUAUUUUUUGAUGGCUUGCAAAUGGUCAUAUGUGGUAGUUAAUUAAACUAGGUUAUUAUGGCUGGGAAUAUACAACAUUGACUUAUUUUGGUAAGUGAUAUUUUGCUAUAUUUGUGGUGCCUUUGAAUGGCAUAUUGGGUUAGAUGAAUUAGGGUGUUUGAAAAGGCAUGUUUUUGUGUAUUUGAAUGAAGUUUAAAUUCCUUGAAUGUAUGCCUAAAUGGUCUGAAUGGUUAGGUAUGAAUUGGACUUGAAAUGACUUGAUUUUAGGUUAAAUUUUGGUUUCACAUGGCUUGGGACACAAGCUGUCACAUGGUCGUGUGACACAUAACCUGGUAACAUGGACGUGUGCCAUUUGAAAUUUCUUAGUGAUUCAAGUCAGUGAGUUACACGACCUGACACACAGGUGUGUGUGGCAACUCAGAGAGUUAUACGGCUGUGUAACACUUCUCAGUGAGUUACACGGGUAAGGACACGUGCUGGGACACGGUCGUGUUCCCCUUGUUCGAAUAUUACACGACCUGGCCAUACGACCGUGUGGCCCCUGUUUUCACAUUUUUGCAUCGUUUUCUUAAAACUUCUAUUUUGUUUUGAUUUAGUUCUGAAUUGCUUCUAAGCUAUUUUUAAAGCCUCGAAGGCUAGAUUUAGGGACAAAAUGCAAAUGAAUGAUUGGUUUACAAUAAAUUUAAUUUGUUUUAUGUUAUAAUGUUAAAUGAUUUCUAGUUGAAAGAUAAUGCUCUGUAACCCUAAUCUAGAGGCGGAGACGAGUUAAGGGUGUUACAACGCUUGUACUCUUCUUUCGUCUAGUUAAAAUAUGAACUAGAAUGGCAUGAAUAUAUUACAAUGUUGGAGGGAGGUACUGAGCCUUAGACUGGCUCGGGUUGCACGAAAUGGCAACCUCAGAGAUUUUCGACCAACAUAGAGAGACCGAAUAAUGGAUGUGUUGUGGGAGGGAUGAGAGCUCGGUCACUGCUAAGAAAUCAUUAGAAUAUAGGUUGAGAGUGACACCAAAGCCUGCAUUACUAAAGUGUUGAGCGAUACCCCCAAGACGGAAUGAUAUAGCCCGUGGGUCAUCCCCCAACGAUAGUACAGUUGGUAGGAAGAAUGUGGAGAAAAACUCGAAUGUAAGCUCAACAUAUGUAGACUCGACGAUCGUGAAGAAUCACUCCCAUGGGAUUGCGAUUAAAAGAGAAUGAAUCAGUGCGAAUAAGCUCAUAAUUUGGAAGGUGUCCCAAUCUACACGCCGGCCCAUGCCCAAUGCUCUAUCCUUAAUAUUCUGGUACCUCUCCUCAUGGGGUGGAUGGUCAAAGGUGAGGUAUUUGUAACGAGUGGUUGUGAUCGGAGAGGAUGAAGAUGAGGUCUAAGUGGCUUUUCUUUUCUUAGAAUGAGUGUGGACCCUAUUUUUUCCUUGUAGUUUUUGCAUUUUGUACCUGAAAUAAAAUAUAAUAACCAAAUAUCAGAGAACCAAAAAUCAAAACCACAAAAAAUGAAUCUAGCAAAUAGACAAAUCGACAUAUGAAAUAAAACACAUUGGCAAGAGAACCACCUCACGAUGAAAGUCGAAUCACAACGAGUCUAACCAAAAUCUACUUCGAAUACAAAACUAGAGCUAAUACUAAUACUAUCGAGGCAAAAAUAAAUAAAUUAAACUAACCAACUAAAACUAAUAAUAUUAGAAUAAUAAAAUAAUAAAAUAAUGACAAGAAUACUAAUACUAAACAAAAUAAACAUAUUAAUAAUAAGAGUAAUAAUAAUUAAAAUAAUAAGAAAAUAAAUAAAAACAAAAAUAAUAAAAAAUAAAAUAAAAUAAAAUAAAAUGAAAGAAUAGGGUUGAGCCAAAUGGUGGUAACGGUGGUUGUUGGCGGCGAUGGUGAAUGGAGGCGCAAGUGAGGAUGUGUGAGAGGACUGAUGGAGGUGGUGCGCAGGUGAAAAAGGUUAGAACGGAAGGAAAAAAACAGACGAUAGAGGAAAUGGCAUGAUCGACGGUAGGGGAAGGAAAGGGAAAGGGAAAAGUGCGGGGAAGGAAUGGAAACGACACGAUCGACGGUAGAGGACAUGUGUCCAGCCAAUAUGGAAUGGCCCGGCUUGUGUGGCUCUUAAAGAUUCCUCCAAUUUUUCGAUUUUCGCUCUUUUUUCUUCCAAAUGUUCUCCUAAAUAUAGAAACAUGAAUUUAAAGGAUUAGGGGCAUAAAAUUCACCAUUUUAAAUCGAAUAAUCAUCCAAAAAUGCUUUAAGAAUGAGGCUAAAACAUUUACUUUUGGCAUUUACCAAUAAGAAAUGGGUUGGUUUGAAAAUAAAUGGAUUGCUUGUCGUAGAAUAUUAUUCUCGGCAGAAAUUAAAAUAUAAAAUUUUAAAAAUUAUAUUUAAUACAAUAAAACAUUUAUUAUAUUUAUGGUAGUAUUUUUUAAUGUGGUAUGGAACUCUUAGUUGAUGAAACUUGUUUAGUGGUAGAUUAAAUAGACUAUUAGAUUAUUAAUUCUGAAGCCAUUAGUCAUAUUUGUGUUUAUUGCAGGGGUUCAAGUAAAUGAGAAGCCUUCGUGAGAAGGAUCUCUCAUUGCAACUAGAGAUGCGUGAAGAAAUGUAGCGGCAAAAGUAGUGGGAAAAGUACAUUUGUAUUUUGAUAAUUUUAGGAAAAUCAUUUUAAAAAACAUACUUUAUGUACCUAGUUUUAGGAGAAAUUUAAUUUCUGUUGCAUGUUUAUUUCAAGACAAAUUUUUUGUGACUUUUAAUAAAGGGAUUGCAAUUCAUAAAAAUUAUGUUCUUAUAUGUAAUGGAUGGAUGCAAAAUAAUAUUUAUUUUAUUAAACUAAAGAGCUACUCACUGUUUGAAACCAAACUCGUGAAUAAGAAACUUAAAACUUCUCACUCUAAUACUUAUGAUAUUUACGACUUAGUCACGUUAAACAAGAAAGAAUGUAAUACCCCUAACCCGUAUCCGCUGCCAGAACAGGGUUUCGGAGCAUUACUAUCAUUUACAGAUCACUAAAAAAAUUUAAAUACUUAUCGAUUCAAUGCAUCAUAUAAAUAAAUAUAUUAUCAUUCAAUCAACAGUUUGACACUUGUAUAAGCAUCAAACAGCAACAUUGUUAGUAUACUUGCACAUAUCUCAUAUAAAUUCAACAUUGAUAUAUCUAUUUUCUCGACAUAUCGCACUUGAGUUUAAUAAUAGUCUCAACUUACAUAAUUUCCUUGUAUCAACAUAUCAAAGAUAAUCAUAUAUGUACAUGUCAUGAAACAUAUCAUGCUCUUACCGUUUCUUCAUAAGCAUAUAUCAUUCAUUUCAUUAUAUCAAUAUUUCAUGCUCCAUCAUUUCUAUAUAUUUUAUGUAUAUUUAUUCCGGUAAUAGCUUAUAUCAAACUUAACAUAAAUUAUAUUCCAUGUACUUAUACUUAUUUCGUUUAUCUAUCUUCAUAAUUAUUUCAUAUAACCAUUCGUCAUCUGAUACAUAUUACCUGAAUAUCAAUUGUUCAACAGAUGUUAGAGCGUCUCCCAUCCACGGUCUUAUUUAUCUUUGACAUGAUGCCAUAGUGUCUUUCAACUAUGGUCUUACUCAUUUUCUGUCAUGUUGCCAUGGUAUCUUUCAACCAUGGUCUUGUUCAUUUCAUAUCACGUUGCCAUGGUAUCUUUCAACCAUGGUCUUACACAUUUCAUAUCAGGUUGCCAUGGUAUCUUUCAACCAUGGUCUUACACAUUUCAUAUCAGGCUGCCAUGGUAUCUUUCAACCAUGGUCUUACACAUUUCAUAUCAGGUUGCCAUGGUAUCUUUCAACCAUGGUCUUACACAUUUCAUAUCAGAGAGCACACUCCCGCGAACCUCAUCCUUACAGUGGGAUUACCAGUCCAGGCUAAAUCCCCUGUAACAUAAACUCAUAGAGUAUUGUCGGGAUUACCAGUCCAGGCUAAAUCCUCUGCAACGACAAUUACUCUAAUGAGCUUAGAUCUGAAUUACCAGUCCAGGCUAAAUUCAGACCCUAAUUCGGAUUACCCGUCCGGGCUAAAUCCAUUUUACACGUAUUCUUCGGGAGGGCUAUAUCAGAAUAGGAUCACCGGUCCGGGCUAGAUCCUUUUUACCGUCAAUUCCUUUUCAGAGAUCCAUCGAAUUUUCCUUUCAUUCAACUGGGAUUUAUUUUCAAUUUAUAUCGAGAAUUAUCAAUAUUUCAUCAAAUAUCAUGAAUUGAACAUUCAAAUCAUAUUUUCAUCACAUAACCACAUAUUUCAAGUAUUUAAAAUACAAUUCAAGUUACACAAACUUACCUCAUUGCUUGUUUGUGUUUAUAAUUUCAUUAAUCCGAUAUCUUUUCUUUUCUACGAUCAAGUCUCAUAUUUGAGUCGUCCGGAUCUUUAUAAAUAAAUUUGAUCAUCAUUUUCAUUCAUUUCAUCUUCUAAUGCAUUUAAUUAAUGCUCUAGGCAAAAUUACCAUUUUGCCCCUAAACUUUUAAUUAAUGACGAUUUCGUCCUUAGGGUCAGGAAAAUAAAAUUCUUGCAAUUUAAUCCUUAUUUCCAGCUAUUAUUCUCAUAUAUAUUGAUAACAGUCCAUGAAUUCUAUAAAAUAUCAGAAUUUUCCAUAAUUUCAACACUUUUCAAUUUAAUCCCUAAAACAUGUUUUCCCCCGAUCUUGAACUAAAUUAAUAAUUUCAUUCAAUUUUGUAAUUUAAAUAAUAAAAUAAUCCAUUUCAUGCAAUUUGGUCAUUUAUGACAUUUUUACAAAAUUUCCCAUAAAGUUUUACUUUUAUUCAAUUUAGUCCCUAAGCCUAAAAUAUGCAAAUUAGCCAUGCUUAAUGAAUAUUCAUAUAUGUUUUCCUCCUCCUCCUCUCCAUUCCACAUCCUUGAUGUAUGUAGCACACUUGUAAGUAACAUUAUCUAUAAUCUUUAUUAUUUACUUUUAUGAAUAUUCAAGCUGUCCAUCUGUGUCAUGGUCACUAAAUUAUUUAUAUCUGGAGCUAUAGGACUCCAAAUUAAUAUCCGUUAAUUUUCCCUGAAACUAGACUCAUAUAUAUUCUUACCAUAAAAUUUUAAGAAUUUUUGGUUUAGUAAAUAAGUACAGUUUAUUCUUUAAAGUUACCCCUAUUCUGCUGUCUGACAGUUGUGACCCUUCUUCACUAAAAAUUAAUUAUCUCCUUGUACAGAAUUCGAAUGAUGUUCAUAUUUGUUUCUAUUGAAAAUAGACUCAUUCAUGAUUCUAAAAAUUUAAAUUUAAGCCUCUAAUUAUUUUAUCCAAUUUUUUUAUGAUUUUACAAAUUCAGAACAGGGGAACCCGAAAUCAUUCUGACCUUGUCUCACAAAAUUCAUAAUAUCUCAUUAUUUAGAAUUCCAUUGCUUACAUAAUUUCUUCUAUAAGAAACUAGACUUAAUAAGAUUUAAUUUCAUAUUUUAUUCAUCCUAUAAUUAGAUUUCUACAUUUUUUUAUGAUUUUUCAAAGUUAGACUACUGCUGCUGUCCAAAACUGUUUUAGUACAAGAUAUUAAUUACCAUGUUAUAACAUCCUUAUUUUCUUUUUCUACACCAUUUCUCAUCACUUUCUCUUAUUUUUUCUUCACUAACAUAUCAAGAACAUAGGACCUUAUGUAAGAAAACUCUACUAUAACAUUAUUUCCAUGCUUUAUCAAUAAUAACAAACUUAGAAACAUAUUGAAAUCUUGAUGUACUUACCUUUUCUUAUCGACUUCAAUCUUUAACUUGAUUUUUCUCUCUCCUCCAGCUUCGAUUUCUUGAAUCCGACUUGAUAUUCUUGCUCCCCAUCAUCUCCUUGCUAUCUUUCUCUCUUGAUGGCUAUGGAAAUUCUUUCAAUUUUUAGGUGAAAAUAAUGAAUUUUUGGUGGAACGACUAAAUUGUAAAGAAAGCAAACUUCUUUUCUUCUUCUUAUCUUACGUUAGUUUGCAUGGGAAAGGAAAUGUGUUGAUAAUUCUUCAUCUUUCCUUCCUUUUAUACUAAAUAAAUAAUAAUAUAAUAAUAAACAUCUCAUAAAAUAUUAAUAAAAUAAUAUUUAUCUAAUUAAUUAAUUUAAAAUAUCAUCAACAUAAUCAUUACAUUCUAGAAUUCUCUCUCUUACUAAUUGACCAUUUUGCCCUUCAUGAUCUUUUAGAAUUCCAUCCUUGAGUCAUCACUUAAUUUGGUAAAAUUGCGAUUUAGUCCCUAAUAAUUUUUUACCUAUUCAAUUUGGUCCUAAUUCAUCAAUUUUUCUUGGUUUCUAGAUCAUUCCACCCUUAAAAUAUUGUCACCAUUAGUCCUUCAACUUUUUUAUAUUUACACUUCAACCCCUUAAUUUUUUAGUAUUUACUCUUGUGCAACAAGACUUUUCUCAUCUUUACAAUUUAGUCCUUUCUUGAAUUAAUAUAUCAUAAUAUACUUUUCAAUAUUGACAUCACUCAAAAAUUCCCUUUUUGUCACUUUAUUUCCUUAUUUUACUAUAUCACGGAUAAUAUAUUACUGUAAAAAUUUUCGGGGUAUUACAAAGAAUGAAUAAACUUUUUAAAUAUGGGACUUUAAGCUCACUUAAAGAGGUACAUCUUCCACAAUGUAAAUCUUGCCUUGAAAGGUAAAAUGACAAAGCAAUCUCCUCAUGCAAAAGGUACAAGGGCUGUUCAAUCAUUAAAACUUGUGAAUACUGGCGUAUGAGAUCCCAUGAACGUUAGUGUGAGAUUUGGUUACAAUUAUUAUGUAAACUUUAUAAACAUUUAUUCCAGAUACUAGUCUGUGUACCUAAUGCACCACAAGAGUGAAACUUUUAAAAAGUUUCAAGAGUUUAGUGUGAAAGUGGAGAAACAAUUAGGUUUACCUAUUAAGAAACUUCAGUUUGACCAACGCGGGGAAUACUUAUGGGACGAGUUUAUAGGAUACCUCAUAGAGAAUGAGAUACAAUUCUAAUAAAUUGUGCGAGGUACUCUACAAUAGAAUGGCGUGGCAGAAAGAUGGAACAAAACCUUACAGAUAGAAUUGUGCAUGUUUGUUGGUUGUCCAAAACGAACUAAGGGUGGAUUAUUUUAUAACCCAAAAGACCAAACAGUUAAGGUUUAGACUUAUGCUACUUUCCUUGGGGAAAUCUAUAUUAAAAAUUUUAAACCUUGAAGUAGAUUGUAACUUCAUAAAAUUUCAGGAAAAUGAGCUUAUUUUUUAGUAACUUGUAAGUCAUUUUACGUGAAACAAACGCAUCUGAAGGAAAAUGAAUAAGAGGAUAAUAAUUUUAUAAACAAUGAUCUAAAAAUUUUACUCAUACCAUGUGUCGAAACUAUUUUUAAAUCGAGUUUUGGAAAAUGGGAAUCGACUUUAAAAAUGAAAACGGGAGUCGCCGCCAAUCUUUUUAGGUGUGAUUGGAUCACCUUUAAAACAUUUGUUUUAAAAUCGUUGGUUUUGGUCUACGAAAUCAAAAGAAUGGGUUCGGGAGUCGGUUACGUACGAGGAAGGGUUGGCACCCUCGUAACGCCCAAAAAUUGGUACCUAAUUGAUUAUCAAAAUGUCUCUAAUGUCGGAAAUUAAAAAUUUUAAGAUGUAAUCCUCUUUAAAGUAUUUGAAAAUUUGGGUUUACUUGUAUCAAAGUAUUGACUAUAAGUUAGCCUUUUAGAAACCUCUAUCUCAAAAUAGCAAAAUGUUACAUUCAGUAAGUUAGGACAUAUCACUUUACAAUUCCAAGACAGUCACUUAUAUUUUGAAAUCCUUUAAGAACUUUAGAAUGGUACUUGACUAUUCGAACUUAACGAGAAAAGUUGCAACCCAAUAAGUUAGGGCACUACUUCUUCGAAAUUUUCAAACACCAAGCAUUGCCUUUAUAUUUUUUGAAAAUUUUGGAGCCUUGUCUUUUUAAAGAUGAUGUGUGGAGAAUUGUAUUAAAUCAUAAUGAUAUAUUAUUGUACUAGGUAGAUAAAAAAUGAAUACUACGAUAUAAAGAAUAAUACAUAUAAAGCAAAAAAAAAUGCAAACAAAGAUAUAUAGCAUGUAUCGAGAACGGAUAAACAAGAUAUAUAAACAUAUGAGAUAAUACUUAAAUGAUGCGUGAUAUAAAAACAAACAUAAUCAAAUAAUGCAUGAUAUACAAAUAGAAUAAAUGUAAUGUCAAUAUGCAUAUAAUUAUAAUAAAAAAUUUAACACAUACAUGAUACAUACAAUACAAAACAUAUAGAAGAACUAAUAAAAAAAAUGAUUGAUUGCUAACAAAAUAUACAUGCAAUUAAAAACAAGACAUUUCAUAUCAAUAGUAUUUAAUAUAUAAUAUAAUAACAUAGUAACAAGAAUAAAAGAAUAAUAAUUAUAUAACAAUAUAUUGGUUUGAAAGCAUGUAAGAGAUUUCAUAAUAUAACAAUAUUAGUUUAAAAUGAAAUAAUAUAUGUAUAGUAAAUAAAUAAAAAAAUGAAAUGUGUAUAUAAUGUGAGUUAAAAAUAUGAUUUAAUAAUAAUAAUUUACAUUUUUAAAAUAAUAUAUAUAAAACAAUCUAAUUUGCGAUACAUAAUAUACAUAACAUAUAUAUAUAAAAUAAUAUAAAAAUGAAAUAUAAUAAAGAUUAUAUAAUAAAAUGUAAUAUGAACAUAUAAGAAAAAAAAUAGAUAUAAUAUGAAGUAACAAUAUAUAUAAGUAAUUAAUAAAUAUAAUAUAUGAAAAUAUAAUAAUAUAUAUAAGAGAUGUAAAAUAAUAAUUUAAGAAAAAUAAUAUAUAAUAAGUAAUAAUAAUAUAUAAUUAAAAAUAAUACUUAUAAUAAAAUAAUUUUAUAAUAUAUAAUAUAAAAGUAAAAUUAGAAAUAAACGAAUAAUAAAAUAUAUAUGGAAUAAUAUAAUAAAUAUAGGACUAAAUUUAAAGUUUAACAAAAUUAUGGGGCGAAUUUUGAAAGGAAUAAAACUGAAUUAAGGACCUAUUUAAAACGCGCGCAAAAUUAAAGGGACUCACUGGGCAAAUUGCCCCUUUUCCCAAAACGUCACCGUUUCCCCUAAUACAAUUGUAAAUCAUUGGGAGGGUCGAAUUGAAAUAGAAUUAAAAUAUUAAUACCAAAUUAAAAAAAUAAAAAAAUGAAAUUAGAAGUAUAAAAAAUUGCGAGAGGACCAAUUGGGUAAUUAACCCAAUUCUCAAAAAUGGGCGGAUCCUCCCCGGGUAAUUGGGUCAACGCGCGGAUCCUAUAGUUGUAAAAUGACACCGUUUUAAAUAGACUAUAUAAAUCAAACUUCGCCCCCAAAAUCAUUUUAACAUCCGUUUUCAAAAAAAAAAAGAAAAAAUCCUCUGGAAGAGGAUUUGGGGGCCGAUCCCGGAGCUGCUGAGCCUCCGUCCAGGGGUCUCCUCACGCGCUCACGCGCCGCCCUGUACGGUGGUCUGAGGGUUAAAAUCCUCGUCCUUCCACAGGUAAUCUCUUCCCCUUUUUAAAAAUUACUAUUUUUUGCUAAAAUGAUGUACAUACAUGCAUAUGCUCUAAAAUGAAAAAAACACACAGUUAAAUCACCUUUUCUUUGAAACUGCUUGUAUUCUCUUUUUUUAUUUCUGUAUGCAUGUGUGUGUAAUCGUUACAAGAGUUACAAAGGCUUUUUAUAGCCUACGGAUUUGUUACAUAAGGAAAGAAAUCUCUGAUUUCUAUUGUAUCUUUGACUGAUGUGCUGCGAUUUCCUUGCCAUUUUCUACUCUGCUUUUUCGCGUAUCUGCUGUUUGUUUCCUUUUCUUGUAGGCAAUUGAGCGAGGGAUCCGGCAAUGACCAUGCUGGUGUAGACGCGUGCACUAAUCACGGUGCUGAUGGAGGGUUACUGAAACAUCGUGGGAGACGAGCAGACGCAUCCGUUGAAAUUGCUUCUGGAAGCUUCUACUUGCGACGCGAGGAGAAAGGCAGAAACCCUAGGGUUUGCUGCCUUGGUGUAACAAGCUGGGCCAAUUGGGCUUUUUGAAUUUGGGCUAGCUAGUUUUAAUUGGGUCACGGGUGUUUGUGGGUCUGCUGGGUAGUUUGGGCCUGAUUAGGUUACAAGUGUAACGGGCUUUGGGCUCACUAGGCUUUGAGGCCUGUUUAUUUGUAAAUAGACUUUAAUGGACAUUUUUUAAAUAAAUAUUUAUUCAUAUUCUGCUUUCAGCCCGGUUAAAUUUGGGCUUUUACACCAUGAUUUUGAUUUAUUUUAUUAGUGAUUUUCAUUUUCUAUUUUCCUUUUUUUAGCGACUCUUUAGAUAAUUGAGACCAUUAAAAAUAAAUCAUAAUAACUAAAAUUAAAAAUUUAAUAUUAUAAAAAAAACCCAUAUAUUUUAGUUUAAAUUUUAAAAUUAAAUUGUUCACAGAUUAAGCUAUUUCUCCGCUUAGUAGGCACGUUUUAAAUUUUUUUACCACAAAUUAUCUCUCUCAAAAAUAGUAAACCUAACAACAUCCUUUUACCAAAUUUACACAUUUACACGUUUUGUUCAACACUCUCGGCAAUUACCAAUCCAACUGUUAUAAAUUAGGCCAAAGUUCAUUGGAAAAAACACACCAUCACAAAUUAACAGUAUUAGCCGCCUAGCUAGCUAACUUUUAUUUUAAAAAAAACAUGAAGAGGUUUUCCCUUAUUGUUUUGUGCGUGGUGACUCUAGUGAUGGUGUUGUUUUCAGGUGCAGAGGCAGCGCCAGUGCCGAAAUGUGAUAACCCCUUAGAGUAUAGCUCAUGCUUGAAUGCGUACAAGAAGCCACCUCCAUCAGCCGGUUGUUGCCAGAAGAUGAAGGAACAAGCACCAUGCUAUUGCAAGUACAUGAAGAUAGAAGAUGUCAAACGUGUUUUUGACAGAGUUGAGAUUGCGAAAAUGGCUAAAUUGUGUGGAGUUUCAUAUUCUUCCACCUGCUAGAAUCCCGUUUGGUUUCAUUUGACUAUCUCUGGAUGAGAUAACCUGACAUCUCAAUAAAUGAAAAUUUUAUUUGAAAACUAUUUUUUUACCCAUAAUUUCGACUAUAAUGUACUUGUGUUCUUUUUUUUUUUUGGAAUAAUACUGGUGGUUUGCUAUUAUUUACCUUUAUUGUCUUGAUUCAUGUUAUAUAUAUGCAAAAAGAACUACACAAUGAUCUAGAUUUUGUUUGAACUAUACUGGAUUGGUUAGAUUAGAAACUGAUCUGGAUAGUAGUAUAAUUAGAGGGGUUAGAUUGGUUGACCCACGAACCGAUAGGCAGUAGUUGAAUCGGUUUUCUCUAAUAAAGUAUUUUUAUAUUUAUUUUAAUCUUUAAGUAAUUUAUUUAAUCAAACUAGAUGAAUAGUUCGAAAUAAAAAAAUAGUUAUUUAACUGAUUUAAUCGUCGUCCAGUUCUGAAAACAUUGUUAUAGUUAAAAAAAAAACAAGAGAAAUGAGUUGUGUAGAUCAAAUUAUUAUAUUAUAAAAAUAUAUGUUAUUUGAAUAUUUAUUUAGGUAAAAUACACUAGUAGUCACUCAACUUUUAGUAAAUUUCUUUAUUUCUUAUCGAAUUAUGAAAAAUUACAAAAUGAUCACCUAACUAUUCAAUUUUUUCUUUUUUGAGCUUCGGUCAGCUAAUGGUGACAACCAGACUUGUUAAUUGGUCGAGUUACCUGCCCAAGCCCGAUGGUCUGCUUGAAAAAUGGAAGGGUUUGGACAAAUAUAUGGUGCCGAAAAAUGGGUUAGGGUAAAAUUUAAGGCCUAUUUUCUAUAUGAUUGGGAUCUGUGCAAAUUUUUUUUUAGCCGAGCACAAUUUGAUUAUAUUAAUUAUAUAUGUUAAAUAAUAAUUCUAUAUUUAUAUAUAUUGAAUUACUAACCCAAUAACAACUAAACCCAUUUUUCAAAACCUAAAAAAAAAACUUAGCCAACUUAAUAAUUGGCUUCAGCUUUUCCUCAAGCCCGUCAAUUAGUUAACCAUAGACAUAUUUUAGUUAAUGGCUUACAGUAGAUAUACCAAGUUAUCGUUGUAAGCCCCGAGAUAUUAUUUCAAUGAGGGAUGAACAAAAUUCUAGAACUCUUAUUCAAAAUCAUCUUGAUUCAUCCACCAAUGAGGAAUUACCAAAACAUUUAGCCAUUCACACAUUACAAUAUAAAGGAUUAGUCAAUCAAAUAAUAUAUGAGAAAUAGGUUGGUUUGAAAUAAAUGGAUUGCUUGUAGUAGAAUAUUAUUCUCGUCAGAACUAAAAAUAUAAAAUAUAAAAUUUUUUAUUUAAUACAAUAAAACAUUUAUUAUAUUUAUGGUAGUGUUUUUUAAUGAAUCUUUAAUGUGGUAUGAAACUCUCAGUUGAUGAAACUUAUUUAGUGGUAGAUUCAAUAAACUAUUGGGUCAUUAAUUCUGAAGUCAUUAAUAAUAUUUGUGUUUAUUGUUGGGGUUUAAGUAAACGAGAAGCCUCCGUGAUAAGGAUCUCUCGUUGCUUGCUAGAGAUGGGAGAAAUGUAGCAGCAAAAGAAGUGGGAGAAGUACAUUUGUAUUUUGAUAAUUUUAGGAAAUUUAUUUUAAAUGAUAUUUUUUAUGUACCUAGUUUUAGGAGAAAUUUAAUUUCUAUUGCAUGUUUAUUUAAAGCAAGUUUUUUUGUGACUUUUAAUAAAGGGAUUGCAAUUCAUAAAAAUCAUGUUCUUAUCCGUAAUGGAUGGGUGCAAAAUAAUAUUUAUUUUCUUACACAAAAGAGCUAUUCACUGCUUGAAACCAAACUUGUGAAUGAGAAACUUAAAACUUCUCACUCUGAUUCUUAUGAUAUUUAAUACUUAAUCGCGUUAAACAAGAAAGAAUGAAUAAACUUUUUAAAGAUGAGACUUUAAGUUUACUUAAAGUGAUACAUCUUUCACAAUGUAAAUCUUGCUUGAAACGUAAAAUAACCAAGCAAUCUUCUAAUGCAAAAGGUACAAGGGUUGUUCAAUCAUUCAAACUUGUGCAUACCGACAUAUGUGGUCCCAUGAACGUUAGUGUAAGAUUUGGUUACAAUUAUUUUGUAAACUUUUUAGAUAUCUAGAUACUAGCUAGUAUGUGUACGUAAUGCAUCACAAAAGUGAAACUUUAAAAAAAAUUCAAGAUUUUAGUGUGAAAGUGCAGAAACAAUUAGGUUACCUAUUAAGGCACUUCAGUUUGACCGACGUGGGGAAUACAUAUCAGACGAGUUCAUAAGAUACCUCAUAGAGAAUGAGAUACUAUCCCAAUUAACUGUGCAGGGUACUCCACAACAGAAUGGCAUAGCAAUGAGAUGGAACAAAACCUAGCUUGAUAUGAUUUAUUCAAUGCUAAGUUAUUCAAAACUUCCAAUAUCAUUCUUGGGGUAAGCAUAUCGACUUGCGAUAUUUUAAAUUACAUAAAAACUAAGGAAGCACUUCAGGAUCCAUAUGAAAUGUGGCAUGACAUGAAGCCAAGCCUAAAUCAUUUUAGGAAUUGGGGAUGCCCAACUUACGUGUUGGCUAAAGAUACAAAAAAUUUGGAAGCACGGAUAGAAUUUUGCAUGCUUGUUGGUUGUCCAAAACGGAGUAAGGGUGGAUAAAUUUAUAAUCCAAAAGACCAAACAGUUAAUGUUUCGACUUUUGCUACUUUCCUUGAGGAUAUCUAAAUUAAAGAUUUUAAACCUCAAAGUAGAUUGUUACUUCAAAAAAUUUUAGGAAAAUGAGCUUCUUUUUCUAUGACUUGUAAGUCAUUUUCCGUGAAAUAAACCCAGUUGAAGGAAAAUGAAUUCACGGAAAAUGAAUAAGAGGAUAAUAAUUUUAUAAACAGCGAUAUAAAAUAUUUUACUCAUACCAUCAUUUUGAUUGAUUUUAUUAGUGAUUUUAAUUUUCUAUUUUACUUUUUUUAGUGACUCUUUAAAUAAUUGAGACCAAUAAAAAAACCAUAACAACUAAAAUUAAAAAUUUAAUAUUCUAAAAAAAUAUUUUAAUUUUAAUUUUAAUUUUAAAUUGUUCAAAGAUUAAGCUAUUUUCUCGGCUUUGUAAGCACGUUUCAAUUUUUUUUUACCACAAAUUAUCUCCCUUACAAAAAUAGUAAACCUAACAGUAUCCUUUUACAACAUUUACACAUUUACACGUAUUGCCCAAAACUCUCGGCAACUAAUAAUCCAACUACUAUAAACUGUGUAAAAGUUCAUUGGAAAAAACACACCAACACAAAUUACCAUUAUUAGUCACCCAACAAGCUAACUUUUUAUUUAAAAAAACAUGAAGAGGUUUUCCCUUAUUGUUUUGUGUGUAGUGACUUUAGUGGUGGUGUUGUUUUCGGGUGCAGAGGCAGCGCCAGUGCCGAAAUGUGAUAACCCUUUGGAGUAUAGCUCAUGCUUGAAUGCGUAUAAGAAGCCACCUCCAUCAGCCGGUUGUUGCCAGAAGAUGAAGGAACAAGCACCAUGCUAUUGCGAGUACAUGAAGAUAGAAGAUGUCAAACGUGUUUUUGACAGAGUUGAGAUUGCGAAAAUGGCUAAAUUGUGUGGAGUUUCAUAUUCUUUCACCUGCUAGAAUCCCGUUUGGUUUCAUUUGACUCUCUCUGGCUAGGAUAACUUGGCAUCUCAAUAAAUGACAAUUUUAUUUGAAAACUAUUUUUUUACUCA